This 497-nucleotide ribosomal RNA is filed under the name uncultured bacterium. RNAcentral's name for it is "partial 16S ribosomal RNA". It matches the Rfam family "Bacterial small subunit ribosomal RNA", at positions 28 to 507 of the family's 1533-position model. The record is from RNAcentral.
GAUGAACGCUGGCGGCGUGCCUAAUACAUGCAAGUCGAGCGAACGGACGAGAAGCUUGCUUCUCUGAUGUUAGCGGCGGACGGGUGAGUAACACGUGGAUAACCUACCUAUAAGACUGGGAUAACUUCGGGAAACCGUAGCUAAUACCGGAUAAUAUUUUGAACCGCAUGGUUCAAAAGUGAAAGACGGUCUUGCUGUCACUUAUAGAUGGAUCCGCGCUGCAUUAGCUAGUUGGUAAGGUAACGGCUUACCAAGGCAACGAUGCAUAGCCGACCUGAGAGGGUGAUCGGCCACACUGGAACUGAGACACGGUCCAGACUCCUACGGGAGGCAGCAGUAGGGAAUCUUCCGCAAUGGGCGAAAGCCUGACGGAGCAACGCCGCGUGAGUGAUGAAGGUCUUCGGAUCGUAAAACUCUGUUAUUAGGGAAGAACAUAUGUGUAAGUAACUGUGCACAUCUUGAGGGUACCUAAUCAGAAAGCCACGGCUAACUACGUG